ACGAACGCUGGCGGCGUGCUUAACACAUGCAAGUCGAACGGAAAGGCCCUGCUUUUGUGGGGUGCUCGAGUGGCGAACGGGUGAGUAACACGUGAGUAACCUGCCCUUGACUUUGGGAUAACUUCAGGAAACUGGGGCUAAUACCGGAUAGGAGCUCCUGCUGCAUGGUGGGGGUUGGAAAGUUUCGGCGGUUGGGGAUGGACUCGCGGCUUAUCAGCUUGUUGGUGGGGUAGUGGCUUACCAAGGCUUUGACGGGUAGCCGGCCUGAGAGGGUGACCGGCCACAUUGGGACUGAGAUACGGCCCAGACUCCUACGGGAGGCAGCAGUGGGGAAUAUUGCACAAUGGGCGGAAGCCUGAUGCAGCAACGCCGCGUGCGGGAUGACGGCCUUCGGGUGGGAAACCGCUUUCGCCUGUGACGAAGCGUGAGUGACGGUAAUGGGGAAAGAAGCACCGGCUAACUACGU
Molecule: ribosomal RNA, 466 nt
Filed under: uncultured bacterium
Lineage: Bacteria
Description: partial 16S ribosomal RNA
Rfam family: Bacterial small subunit ribosomal RNA
Source: RNAcentral